UGAGGAAUAUUGGGCAAUGGAGGAAACUCUGACCCAGCCAUGCCGCGUGAGUGAAGAAGGUUUUCGAAUUGUAAAGCUCUUUCGGAUGUGAAGAUGAUGACGGUAACAUCUAAAGAAGCCCCGGCAAACUUCGUGCCAGCAGCCGCGGUAAUACGAAGGGGGCAAGCGUUGUUCGGAAUUACUGGGCGUAAAGGGUGUGUAGGCGGAUAAGUAAGAUAGUGGUGAAAUGCCCGAGCUCAACUUGGGAACUGCCAUUAUAACUAUUGAUCUAGAGUGACAGAGAGGAUAUUGGAAUACCCAGUGUAGAGGUGAAAUUCGUAGAUAUUGGGUAGAACACCGGAGGCGAAGGCGAGUAUCUGGCUGUCAACUGACGCUGAGGCACGAAAGCAUGGGGAUCAAACAGGAUUAGAUACCC
Molecule: ribosomal RNA, 415 nt
Filed under: uncultured bacterium
Lineage: Bacteria
Description: bacterial SSU rRNA
Rfam family: Bacterial small subunit ribosomal RNA
Source: RNAcentral